UAGGGAAUAUUGCAAAAUGGGCGAAAGCCCGAUGCAGCAACGCCGCGUGGGCGAUGAAGGCCUUCGGGUCGUAAAGCCCUUUUUGAGGGGAUGAGGAGGGACAGUACCCUCAGAAUAAGCCUCGGCUAACUACGUGCCAGCAGCCGCGGUAAAACGUAGGAGGCGAGCGUUAUCCGGAUUUACUGGGCGUAAAGCGCGUGCAGGCGGAUUGGAGAGUUGGAUGUGAAAGCUCCCGGCUUAACUGGGAGAGGUCGUUCAAUACUUCCAGUCUUGAGUGCAGUAGAGGGAAGUGGAAUUCCGGGUGUAGUGGUGAAAUGCGUAGAUAUCCGGAGGAACACCAGUGGCGAAAGCGGCUUCCUGGACUGUAACUGACGCUCAGACGCGAAAGCUAGGGUAGCAAACG
Molecule: ribosomal RNA, 403 nt
Filed under: uncultured bacterium
Lineage: Bacteria
Description: bacterial SSU rRNA
Rfam family: Bacterial small subunit ribosomal RNA
Source: RNAcentral